Puntigrus tetrazona (Sumatra barb) is the source of this 1008-nucleotide long non-coding RNA. RefSeq lists it as uncharacterized. NCBI's taxonomy places the organism in Eukaryota, Metazoa, Chordata, Actinopteri, Cypriniformes, Cyprinidae. The record is from RefSeq and is a predicted model, not a curated record. The transcript is spliced from 3 exons.
GCAAGUGUAUGUCUCUAGGAAACCUUAAGUCUGAAAAGUGGGUUUGAACGUUGACGUGGUUUAUAGCCGGCAGUAAGGAAGUAGGAAGAAGUAGACUAUGAUUGCUCUGUGUGAGAAGCUUGUAAAACCUAAAAGUCUAACAUACAAGCAUGUUUCACACACUGUGUAUGGUAUAAACUGGAUGAGCAACUAUCGAUGGGUUGAAACCUGCUGAAAGAAAACAAAACAAGAGGUGGAAUUCUGUGUGUUUGUUAUGGAUCUGUUGUUUUCAGGUUUUGAGCUGGUCUUCAUCAUCAUUGCUUUCACUAUUAUGUGCUUAUUCGGCCUGGCUGCUGUUUACACACACAAUACAGAUCAUCAAGAUAACUACGUUCAGACGGAGCAGAAGAUAAUGCAACAAAAGAGUAACUCGAAGAAGAAACAGCGAGUUUUCACCAAAACCAGUCAAGAGCUACCGUGAACACGCAAACAAUUACAUUUCAUAUAAAUACAGAGUCGUUCUGUUGGUGCUGGAAUUAAAAGGCCUGGCUCACCAAAUGCAGCUAUCGAGUGCGUGAACAUCUCUCACGCUGAAAAUGGACUUGCUGUUAAGCUCAUCUUUUAGUUGACCCUCAAGGCCAGCUGUCUCUGAUUGGCUUGGAUGCAUGCCAGUUUAUGCUUGGGUGGGCAAACUGCUUCUAAAGUCUCCGGGUGGGGGUGGCCUUUGGCAAUGAAAUUGCUGAAUGUUUACAGUGAAAAUAUUUUUUACCUACAAAUACAAUUUAUUUAUAUCAUAAUGUUGCAAUAUUUACAUAAUGCAUUUUUAGAAUGUAUUUUAUUUAUUUUUUUACAUAAAUAUGAAUAUCGUCCAGUUUACAUAAAUAUAUAUGAAUACAUUUGAACAAGAAUAGAAAAUGGUGGCUUUAUCUUAAUAAUGUUAAUAUUUUUUUCUUCUAUAAACGUAUGUAUUAAUUUAAUAAAGCUGCAUAUACAUUUACUGUAUAUGUAAACACAAAGAUUUUGGGGGGU